AGUGGGGAAUAUUCGCGCAAUGGGGGGAACCCUGACGCAGCCAUGCCGCGUGAAUGAAGAAGGCCUUAGGGUUGUAAAGUUCUUUCGGUAUUGAGGAAGGUUGAUGUGUUAAUAGCACAUCAAAUUGACGUUAAAUACAGAAGAAGCACCGGCUAACUCCGUGCCAGCAGCCGCGGUAAUACGGAGGGUGCGAGCGUUAAUCGGAAUAACUGGGCGUAAAGGGCACGCAGGCGGUUAUUUAAGUGAGGUGUGAAAGCCCCGGGCUUAACCUGGGAAUUGCAUUUCAGACUGGGUAACUAGAGUACUUUAGGGAGGGGUAGAAUUCCACGUGUAGCGGUGAAAUGCGUAGAGAUGUGGAGGAAUACCGAAGGCGAAGGCAGCCCCUUGGGAAUGUACUGACGCUCAUGUGCGAAAGCGUGGGGAGCAAACAGGAUUAGAUACCCUGGUAGUCCACGCUGUAAACGCUGUCGAUUUGGGGGUUGGGGUUUAACUCUGGCGCCCGUAGCUAACGUGAUAAAUCGACCGCCUGGGGAGUACGGCCGCAAGGUUA
RNAcentral lists this ribosomal RNA (550 nucleotides) under uncultured bacterium. Its description in RNAcentral is "bacterial SSU rRNA". It matches the Rfam family "Bacterial small subunit ribosomal RNA", at positions 353 to 896 of the family's 1533-position model. The record is from RNAcentral.